RNAcentral lists this ribosomal RNA (770 nucleotides) under uncultured bacterium. RNAcentral describes it as "bacterial SSU rRNA". It matches the Rfam family "Bacterial small subunit ribosomal RNA", at positions 9 to 803 of the family's 1533-position model. The record is from RNAcentral.
GAGUUUGAUCAUGGCUCAGGAUGAACGCCGACAGAAUGCUUAACACAUGCAAGUCUACUUGAUCCUUCGGGUGAAGGUGGCGGACGGGUGAGUAACGCGUAAAGAACUUGCCUUACAGACUGGGACAACAUUUGGAAACGAAUGCUAAUACCGGAUAUUAUGAUUGGAUCGCAUGAUCUGAUUAUGAAAGCUAUAUGCGCUGUGAGAGAGCUUUGCGUCCCAUUAGUUAGUUGGUGAGGUAACGGCUCACCAAGACGAUGAUGGGUAGCCGGCCUGAGAGGGUGAACGGCCACAAGGGGACUGAGACACGGCCCUUACUCCUACGGGAGGCAGCAGUGGGGAAUAUUGGACAAUGGACCAAAAGUCUGAUCCAGCAAUUCUGUGUGCACGAUGAAGUUUUUCGGAAUGUAAAGUGCUUUCAGUUGGGAAGAAGUCAGUGACGGUACCAACAGAAGAAGCGACGGCUAAAUACGUGCCAGCAGCCGCGGUAAUACGUAUGUCGCAAGCGUUAUCCGGAUUUAUUGGGCGUAAAGCGCGUCUAGGCGGCUUAGUAAGUCUGAUGUGAAAAUGCGGGGCUCAACCCCGUAUUGCGUUGGAAACUGCUAAACUAGAGUACUGGAGAGGUAGGCGGAACUACAAGUGUAGAGGUGAAAUUCGUAGAUAUUUGUAGGAAUGCCGAUGGGGAAGCCAGCCUACUGGACAGAUACUGACGCUAAAGCGCGAAAGCGUGGGUAGCAAACAGGAUUAGAUACCCUGGUAGUCCACGCCGU